RNAcentral lists this ribosomal RNA (857 nucleotides) under uncultured bacterium. Its description in RNAcentral is "SSU rRNA". It matches the Rfam family "Bacterial small subunit ribosomal RNA", at positions 524 to 1381 of the family's 1533-position model. The record is from RNAcentral.
UACGGAGACUGCAAGCGUUACUCGGAUUUACUGGGCGUAAAGGGUCCGUAGGCGGCCAUGUGUGUCGGGUGUGAAAUCCUGCAGCUUAACUGCAGAACUGCGCCCGAAACUACAUGGCUAGAGUAUUGGAGAGGUGAGUGGAAUUCCAGGUGUAGCGGUGAAAUGCGUAGAUAUCUGGAGGAACACCAACGGCGAAGGCAGCUCACUGGACAAUUACUGACGCUGAGGGACGAAAGCGUGGGGAGCAAAAGGGAUUAGAUACCCCUGUAGUCCACGCCGUAAACGUUGUGCACUCGCUAUUGGCGGCUUCGACCCCGUCAGUGGCUAAGCUAACGCGAUAAGUGCACCGCCUGAGGACUACGGCCGCAAGGCUAAAACUCAAAGGAAUUGACGGGUCCCCGCACAAGCGGUGGAGCAUGUGGCUUAAUUCGAUGCAACGCGAAGAACCUUACCAGGCCUUGACAUGUAGUGGACCGGUGCAGAGAUGCACCUUCUCUUCGGAGCCGCUUCACAGGUGCUGCAUGGCUGUCGUCAGCUCGUGUCGUGAGAUGUUCGGUUAAGUCCGUCAACGAGCGCAACCCCUGUCCUUAGUUGCCAGCAUUCAGUUGGGGACUCUAAGGAGACAAUCCCGCAUCCGCGGGAGGGAAGGUGGGGAUGAUGUCAAGUCAGUAUGGCCCUUACGGCCUGGGCUGCACACGUGCUACAAUGCCCGGUACAGUGGGAUGCUACUCCGCGAGGAGAUGCCAACCCCCAAAGCCGGGCCCAGUUCGGAUUGGAGUCUGCAACUCGACUCCAUGAAGUCGGAAUCGCUAGUAAUGGCGUAUCAGCAACGACGCCGUGAAUACGUUCCCGGGGAU